GAAGCAGUCAACAACUCCGGCUUCAGGGGAGGGGAAAAGAGAGGGGAAAAGAGAGGAAAAAAGAGAAAAGAGGAGGGGGACAGCAGUACGCCCACCACGUGUUGCAAGGCUUGGGGGCCAAGGAGAAGUCCCCUGGUUUUCCAUGGCUGCAAGAGCCCCCAGAGGUGUCAGGGUGAGAAGGAACCUGCCAUCAGCUGUGCCUGUGGGCAUUGUGGUGUCUCCUGUUUGGUUCCUUCUCCUCUCUUUCCUUCUCUCUGUGCCUUUAGAGCCUUUUUGCCAGAUGAAGCUGGUGCUGGAGGUGAUCGUUCCAGCUGGUGCUGGCUGUGGGGAGCAGGAUCCAGCCGUAGCCACUGGUGGACAGCAGGUAUCCCCUGUGCUAAUUACCAUGGAGGUGAUUAGACCUUCGGCACGCCCUGGGCAUGGAUGUGGUCACAAGCAGCCUCUGGACAAACACCAGCCUGAGCAGCAAAAGCAUCAACCAGCAUGUGAUUUGAGGCCAAAAAGGGCUGAAGAGGCCCACAGGUGCAUUGCACAGCCCUCAGGACCAACACCUUGGGAAGUGUCUGUGGUGGGACCCUCAUGGGACAUGUCAGGGUGGUGUCCAUCCAGGUUGGAGUUACUACCGCUGGGAAAGGAGGGGACUGCCCCCGAGUUCUGCCUCUGGGAUCCCCUGUCAAAACCCCCUGAGCUGUGGCACCUGUCCAGUCCUGGGGUGUCAUCCCAUUCCUGCUCCAGACAAACCUGUUCCGUCUGGAGUAGGGGGGCCAGCCAGUAGUGGUGUCUCUAAAGGAAAAGGUGGAAUAAACCUAUCAUUUGUGAUUUGCUGUGUUUUUCCCAUUUUUGCGGGUGUUUCCAUUAUCCUGGCACAUUUACCAGGCUGUGUUCCCACUGUGCAUGACCAGAUCCUGGUGUCACACCAGCCAGCUCCCACACAGCCCUCAGAGUGAGCACUGCAGUUCUCACCUGCUAUGAUUGUCCCCACUAAGGCAAGGAAAAGUUUUGAGGGAUGAUUUGGGAUAGCAGAGAAGGAAAGCAGGAGCAAUACCAGGCAGCAGGUGACAGUCUUCAUGUCCACAUGGGUGUUGUGUUUAUUUACUGAUGGCUGGUGGCAGCUGAGCCAGGAACACCUCUCAGGAUCCGGCUGAGCCCAGAGCUAAACACGAGAUAACAACGGCAUUUUUCCAAUGUCCAUGGAGACACCAGGGUGGAGCUGCAUCCAUGGAGACAGCAGAGCAGAGCUGCAGCCAUGUGGGAGUCAUGCCAGGGAGGAGUUUGGUGAAAGGGACUCAACCUCCCUAGUGGCUUGAGAGUGAAGAGGUCCCGGAAGGAAGUGAAAAAAGAGGUCCAAGUGCAAAAUGGGCUGGAGAGGGAGCCUGGAAUGUGGUAAGUGGUGUUUCCUGUGCUUAAGGAAGUGAGUGACAGGGACCUAGGUCAUCUCCUGCAGCCCAGCAGUUGGGUGCUGCCCCUGGGUUUGUCCCCUGCACCACAGCUCUGUCCCAGCCACUCCCUGUCCUGGGGAGGCACAUCCUGGCUCUGCCACAGCAUCCUUCCUUCCCAAGGCAGAAAGCGGCCUGCUCCUGUGAAGCCGCUGUCUUGUCAUCACUUUCCAGCUCAAGUCCAGCUUGGUCCCAUUUGGGACAUGUGGUAGGGUUCAUCCAGCACCCCUGGCACUGCCAGGCUGGGAAAGGGGCUCGAGUCCAUGUGCUCCUUCUUGGUGAGUGGUUGCUACACCUCGGUGGAGUAUUCUGUUACGCUGGGGAGAGAGGAGAGAGGUGUUGGGAAGGGAACUGUUUGAGUCAGGAGGUGUGGGAAAACACUCUGAGUAGGAAUAGGGCCUCUUCCCCAAAGCAGAUGGAGAAAGAAUGACAGGCUGUUUGUGGGAAACCCCUGUUUGUGGGAAAUCCCACAGUCAAUAGGCAGGCAGAGAUGGAAAGCUGUGAUAGUGUGGUGUUGUGUUGGUUUGGCACAGCCUGGUUUGCGGUAGCAGGGGGCACAGAGGUGGCUUCUGUGAGAAGCUGCUGGAAGCUUCCACCAUGUCUGGCAGAGCCAAUCCCUGAUGGCUCUGGAAGAUGGACAUGCUGCUGACCAAGGCUGGGCCAGUUAGAGAUGUUGAUAAUGCCUCUGUGAUAAUGUAUUUAAGAAGAAAAUCAAACCAAAAAGGGGGCACAGGUUUUUUUGCUAACCAGAGAAGAGGAGGAGGUGAGAACACGUGAGGAAAACAACAUGGCAACACCAAGGUCAGUGAAGAAGGAGGGGGAGGAGGUGCUCCAGGCAGUGGAGCCGAGAUUCCUCUGCAGGCU
RNAcentral lists this long non-coding RNA (2300 nucleotides) under Cyanoderma ruficeps (rufous-capped babbler). RNAcentral's name for it is "lncRNA (ENSCRFG00000001058.1)". The record is from RNAcentral. Lineage: Eukaryota; Metazoa; Chordata; Aves; Passeriformes; Timaliidae.